GAAAGGCGUAGUCGAUGGGAAACAGGUUAAUAUUCCUGUACUUGGUGUUACUGCGAAGGGGGGACGGAGAAGGCUAUGUCAGCCGGGCGACGGUCGUCCCGGUUUAAGCGUGUAGGCUGACUUUCCAGGCAAAUCCGGAAAGUUAAGGCUGAGGCGU
This 157-nucleotide ribosomal RNA is filed under the name Cronobacter malonaticus 507. RNAcentral's name for it is "Large Subunit Ribosomal RNA; lsuRNA; LSU rRNA". It matches the Rfam family "Bacterial large subunit ribosomal RNA", at positions 1404 to 1564 of the family's 2925-position model. Lineage: Bacteria; Pseudomonadati; Pseudomonadota; Gammaproteobacteria; Enterobacterales; Enterobacteriaceae. The record is from RNAcentral.